This is a long non-coding RNA of Gorilla gorilla gorilla (western lowland gorilla), 1446 nucleotides long. RefSeq lists it as uncharacterized. NCBI's taxonomy places the organism in Eukaryota, Metazoa, Chordata, Mammalia, Primates, Hominidae. The transcript is spliced from 4 exons. The record is from RefSeq and is a predicted model, not a curated record.
GUUGCCGUUUCCCCCUGCUAUUUCCGUUUCCGCGCUUCAAGCGGAUCUCUUCCGCUUAUGGCGCCCGCUGGGAGUGUCUUAUCAGCCGCUUAUACCGCGGAAACUUUAACCUGCGUUUUCCCGUAGAAAUUUUCCUCUCUAGGACACUGGGAGAAUACAGGAUCUGGUUUCCAGUGCCACAGUGGUGAUCACACAGGAAUAAACGGGACACAGGUCAGACAACAGCCAGAAAGACAUCUGCCAGUAUAUGUUUCCUGUGAGAUGGACACCUGGUCCCAGGUCAGACACAGGUGUUAGAGCGUGAGCUAGAUUUUGAUUCAGAGUCAUCGAUGUCUUCACACCACCCUCUGUGGCAUGAACAGAGAUGGUAAUGAAGCAUUUCUUAGAAAACAAGGCUGGACCACUGCCUGUGUGAUUUCCACCUUUCUUGCUGACACCAUUCUGCAUGUUUUGAUGUUCCUAAGAUGGAAACUUAGGCGAUCAUUGGGCAUCAUCAUAGGGUCUACCUGCCAAAUCAGGUCUUCUUCGUUCUGCAAAAGUUUCUCAGUCACCACUUAUAUUUCAUGACUUUGACCCUUGUGAAAAUACCAGUCAGAUAUCUUGUGGAAUGUCCCGCAAUGUGUAUUUGUCUGAUGGUUUCUCAUAAUUAGACUAGAAACAAUGUGUAAAUUAAACAUAUUUUUCCAAAUUAGAAAACAAGAAAAACAGAAUAACAUAUUAGUUAGAAGUAUUAACACAGGGCUGGACGCAGUGGCUUAUGCCUGUAAUCCCAACACUUUGGGAGGUGAAGGUGGGCACAUUAAUUGAAUCCAGCAAUUCAGCAAUUCAAGACCAAUCUGGGCAACAUGGCAAAACGCUGUUUCUACAAAAAAAUGCAAAAAAUUAGCUAGAUGUUGCAGCAUAUGUCUGCAGUCUCAGCUACUCGGGAGGCUGAGGUGGGAGGAUUGGGAGGGUGGCCUGAGCGUGGGAGGUCAAGGUUCACUGAGCUGUGAUUGUGCCAUAGCGCUCCAACCUGGGCAAGAGAGUGAGACCAUAUCCCAACAAAAAAGAGAGAAAAGAAAAAAUAACAGAGAAAAAUAAUUUUUAAAAAUCAGGUAAUGACAAAUAGGGAGUUCCAAAUAUAUUGCUAAUGGUCUGUUAAGCUUGACAGUGCUUUUAGAAAACUUGUUCUGUUUAGAAUAGUGUUAGACUCACAGAACAAAUUGGUAAUAUAAAGAGUUUACAUAUACCACACACAGUUUUCCUUAUUAUAAAUCUUAACAUUAGUGUGCUACGCUUGUUACAAUUAAGAACCAGUGUUAAACAUUAUCAUUCACUGCUAUCCAUGCUUUAUUCACAUGUCCUUAAUUUCACUUAAUGUCCAUUUUUUGAUUCUGGAAUCCCAUCCAGGAUGACACAUCACAUUUAGAUGUCAUUCCUCUUCAUGCUUCAUAAGCUGUUGACACU